UACGGUUGUAUUCCAUUACGGGCUUAAGUAGAAAAAUUUAGAGAUUUCUAUUCCCUUCCCUCUUCACCUUUACCCAUUCAUUCCCAUAUCAACCCUAUUUUACCCUCACAAAUUCUCACCUCAAAAACACUCAACGGUAGCCAUUUCUUGCUUCCUCCGACUCCGGUAUUCCAUCCCUUCAUCCAAGGUCAGUGUUAAGAGCUUGAAGGUUGGAUUUGGUCGGAGACGCAUCACACUAUCAACCUCAAGAUCUCGGUAUAUAAAGACACUUUAUUUUGGAAAUCAAUGGCAUGUAUAAGCUAGUAAAGUAAAUGUUAAUUUGAAAUGAAUGUAUGGUUAGGCAUUAGUAUGGCUAACAAAUUGUGAUUUUGGUAUGUGAUGAGGUUGUCUUAUGAAUAUGUUAAAUCUAUCAUAAAAAUAUGUUGAAAUGGA
Gossypium raimondii (Peruvian cotton) is the source of this 432-nucleotide long non-coding RNA. RefSeq lists it as uncharacterized. The record is from RefSeq and is a predicted model, not a curated record. Lineage: Eukaryota; Viridiplantae; Streptophyta; Magnoliopsida; Malvales; Malvaceae. The transcript has 2 exons.